This 775-nucleotide ribosomal RNA is filed under the name uncultured Acidobacteriota bacterium. Its description in RNAcentral is "bacterial SSU rRNA". It matches the Rfam family "Bacterial small subunit ribosomal RNA", at positions 8 to 796 of the family's 1533-position model. The record is from RNAcentral. Lineage: Bacteria; Pseudomonadati; Acidobacteriota.
AGAGUUUGAUCAUGGCUCAGAAUCAACGCUGGCGGCGUGCCUCAGACAUGCAAGUCGAACGAUUAAGACUCUCUUCGGAGAGUGUAUAGAGUGGCGCACGGGUGAGUAACACGUAGGUAAUUUGCCUUCGGGUGGGGAAUAACUUGGGGAAACCCAAGCUAAUACCGCAUAAUGCAGCGGCACCAAAUGGUGACAGUUGUUAAAGCUUUAUGUGCCUGAAGAGAAGCCUGCGGUGGAUUAGGUAGUUGGUAAGGUAAUGGCUUACCAAGCCUGCGAUCCAUAUCCGGUCUUAGAGGACGGUCGGACACACUGACACUGAAUAACGGGUCAGACUCCUACGGGAGGCAGCAGUCGGGAAUUUUGGGCAAUGGGCGAAAGCCUGACCCAGCAACGCCGCGUGAAGGAUGAAGUCCUUCGGGAUGUAAACUUCGGAAGAAUGGGAAGAAUAAAUGACGGUACCAUUUUUAAGCCCCGGCUAACUCCGUGCCAGCAGCCGCGGUAAUACGGAGGGGGCAAGCGUUGUUCGGAUUUACUGGGCGUAAAGGGCGCGUAGGCGGCGUGACAAGUCACUUGUGAAAUCUCCGGGCUUAACUCGGAACUGCCAAGUGAUACUGUCGUGCUAGAGUGCAGAAGGGGCAAUCGGAAUUCUUGGUGUAGCGGUGAAAUGCGUAGAUAUCAAGAGGAACACCAGAGGCGAAGGCGGAUUGCUGGGCUGACACUGACGCUGAGGCGCGAAAGCUAGGGUAGCAAACGGGAUUAGAUACCCCGGUAGUCC